This 194-nucleotide unclassified non-coding RNA is filed under the name uncultured fungus. Its description in RNAcentral is "sequence contains ITS2". Lineage: Eukaryota; Fungi. RNAcentral also lists the same sequence under 1 other name. The record is from RNAcentral.
GCACUCUCACACCUAACCUUUGGGUUUUGUUGUGGAAUUGGGAUGCGCCGAUUUCAAUAGUCGGCACUCCUAAAAUGUAGUUCUUGGCUGUUUCCUACUACAGCAGUUUGGCCUAAUAGUUUUGACUUUUGUCAAAUCUUUGGCUACAUUUGCUUCUGGAAAUCAGUCUUGAUAAUACAGAAAACUCAUUCAAA